CUCAAGACGAUUUCCUAUCUAUCUCAAAACAAUUUUCCCUUCUAUUCAGGAUUUUGGCAGCCAAAGUUAUCUAGUUCCCCUCACAUUCAUGUUUUAAUCAUUUCCUCUCUCCUAUGAAGAUUUUGCGUCUAGUGCUGUGGAUUUUGAAAACCAAAUUCUCCAAUUAAGGUAUUUUUUUUAUCUCUUUUAUCUCAUCGAUAUAUUUGAUCUUGUUAACUAAUUUUGUGAUUUUAAUUAACAUGGUAUAUAAUCUUGUUUUUAUUUAAUGUUAAGUAUCAUGCGUGCCUUAUUUCUGUUGAUGUAAUUGAUUGUUUGUCUUUUAAUCAUAAUAUAAGAGUAGCAAGACAUUACACUGAAUUUUUAGAUGAUAAAUAAUAUGGGACCUAGUUAAGGGGACAUUAGGUAUGGGUAGGGGUGUUCAAAAAUAUUCGCAUCAGAAAUAUCCGAUUCGAAAAUCCGAAAAUCCGAUCCGAAAUUAUCCGAAAUUUCGGAUAUCCGAUUUUUCGGAUUCGGAUACGGAUAGUGAAUUUAUAAAGUUUCGGAUAUUUCGGAUAUCCGAUAUCCGAAAAAAUAAUUUUUCUUUAUUUUUUAAUAUUUUAUUAUGAGAAAUUGGAAACAUUGACAUGCUUAAUGGACUAAUGUUCCCCACCAUUUUCAACUUUUUCGUGACCAUUCUUUCCAAACUUUUAUUGCAAACCUUUCCAUUUACAAUCGUUAUAUAUUUGUUUAUUAUAAUCCUGGUUCGUUGACUUAUAAUAAAAAACUAUUAAGUAAAUGCUACAUAUAUUUAUUUGUUGCUAUCGAUAUCCAUCUAUGUCGCCAGAUUUAACAUAGUUGCUAUUAUUAAUUUUAAGAGUUGCGGUGAUUUUACGGAUAGAGAUGUUCAGAUGUGAAUAUUUAUUUAAAAUUAAUGAAAUUCGGAUAUCAAAAAUCAACUAUCGAAAUAUUCGGAUAUCUGAAAUUCGGAUAUCCGAAUUUUCGGAUAUCCGGUUUUGAACACCCCUAGGUAUGGGCCUUUUGUUUUUCUCAAUAACUUAGUUUGGAACUCAAAAUUGGAUAGAUUAGUAGCUUCUCCUAAUGUAGAAUAGCUAUCUUAAUAUAAGGAAUUUCAAGAAUUGCAUCUAAAUAUUUGAGUUUCUGUAGACAUUAAUUUGGUUUAGAAAGGGGCAAAAAGGGAAAUUUGCAGCAUUUCAAGGUUGAUAGAAGAUCCAAACACCAAAUAAACCCAUUUUACUCGGGUAAAAUAUUUAAAAAACAAACUCCAAUCAUGAAUAUUAUUGAAUUUUUAAAAAGACAAAUAUACCCACCCAGAAAAUGGCAACAGUAGUUGAAUACAAAACUCUCAUCUAUUUCCGCAUACUACACACACGUUGUUGGUUGUGAUACAUAUGACAACAAUACCAAAAGGAAUAAAACAACAUCAAAGCAACACUAAGGGUAACAGAGAGUGUACCUAUAUUUGCAAUACGAACCAUAGAAGUGAGUCUGACUGCCAAACUGCAAAUUUGGUUCCUGUAUUUUUUAGAAAAGGUGUGAUUUAAGUCCCUAAACAUUCAAUUUUGCAUAGAUGGUUAAACAACCUAUGUAUUUUCAGUUGUUAGGCUCUUCAAGCGCCCCUCAUAUACCUGAUUACAAAAUGAGAUAUAACAACAUACUUAUUUUGUAUGCCCACCCUAAUGAAAAGCUUAGAAUUCAUCAAAGGAAACCCUAUAGAUUCCCUAAGUUCACAAACCUAAUAUGGCUUAACCUGCAAAAAAUGGUAAUAAAAAACUACAUGAUCUAUCUUUAUUCCAUUUCAUAUAUAAUCGAUGUGAAAUUUGUCCCUGCUCCUGAAUCUCUUCUUUCAGAGCAGAAUGGAGCAAUCUCUUCUUUUAGGGUAGAAUGAAGCAAUCUCUUCUUUCAGAGCAGAGUGGUAAAGUCCUGUAAACAAUAAAUUAAGACAAUACAUGUAAAUAUCCAAAAUAUAGCAUUUCAGUAUUUCUUUUUUCAAAAAAGAACACAAUCUGAUUUGACCAAAUUCCGACACCUCUAAAUUCAAAGAAUCCUUUUUUAUCAGAAGAAACUUUGUCAAGAAGCAAAGAUCAACAGGGAAUUAUGUGUUACCAACACAAAAAAACCAUGAAGCUAUCCGGAUGGAUAAGCGACUCACUUAAUAGUAGCCUUGUCAUACAUUCAGUAUACAAAAUGUUGUAAAUUUUAUUCAACUUAGUAAGUUUGUAACAAUAUAUUCUAGAAAAGAAACAUUGGAUAAGAAAUCAACUUUAUUUUAUAAUCAACAUGUAUGACGUUAUAUUAAUCAAUGCUUUAUAAUACUUAACAAUAAUUUUAGAAACAAACUAUAAGUUGUAGCAAUCUAUUUUUCACAAAAUACCUUUUAACUUUGAAGAGCAACUCCAUAUUACAGCAGAUACAAAUGAACAACUACAUCAUGUAACGUUGGAAUAAGUUACCAUCCCGACUGAAAAACGAAGGAAAAAAUCAUAUUACAUUUAUCAAAGGAAAAAUAGAAAUAUUAGAACAUGUAAAUCUUUUAUUAUUGAAUCUUAACUCUCAGUAUGUGUAUUUAGUCAACAAUGUACUAAUGUAGGUCACAAUUGUUGUUCAAAUUCAAACAGAGGAUAAUUAAAAAAUAAUGAUCAACAUUUGAAGUGCAACUAAGUUUCACCUAAAAUCACAAAUAUAAAUGGAAGUAUGGGAUAUGUCAACUAUUUUGUUCACCUGUAGAAAUUUUCCCAUCAAUAAAAUCUAAUAAAAUCAACUUGUUUUAAGCAGUAGCACCAUACAACGGGUGUCAUGGAUGAUGCCAUCAAUAAAUUCCACUAAACUCAACGUGGCCAAGGGCUUUCCAGGUCAUGGCGAUACUAUUAUGAUCGAUUGUUUUGUCCUUAGCUGGCCACGACAUGGCCAAAAGCAUGCCACGUCAUAGAGGUCAUUGAACGUUGACCGUUGACUUUUUGGUUGGCUUAACAUUGGGUCAAACUUGAAGGAAUUGGGUUAUUGAUCAAGGUUCCACCUUGGUUUGGUGCUAGUUGGUUCGCAGGAGCGAUCAUAGUAGGGAGUGAGUGUGUUGCGGUGUAUCCAUAGGUCUUCGAUUUGGGUGAGUUUCCUCACUAUACUAUGUAUUAUAGUGUAUAUCCUUGUAUGUUAGGAUAUAUAAGUAGUGGUAUGUUGGUUAGGGUACUAGUAGGUUGGUGUUCGUUGAGUGGAGUGCCCUAGGGGUUGUAUGUAGUCAUGUAGGAUAACCUGAGAACUCUUGAUCUAGGCUUCCUUUCAUGUUCCUUGUUUGGUUGUGGCUCUAGAGUAGGAUCAGCUGUUUGGAUACCUAUCUCAUCUCUAGUUAUAUAUAGCUAUGCAUUCCUUGGAGAUUUAUCGGUAAUGAUGUAGUGUGUUGAUAAGGCCUAGUAUGCGAUAAUUAUUUGUUAGACAGGUAGACUAGUGUAGGUAGUUGUCUGUGUUAUAUGUUUACUUGAUUUCUUGUUUGUUACAUAUGUUGACAUAUUGUGGUAGGGUGGGUUGAGGUGAUGAUGCUUUGUGUUGUAGGCCAAGAUACUCGGGAAGGCCAACGGUGUACUAUAUUCUAGGGUGCGGGCCAAUUGUAUGUUGUAGGCAUGGGAGGGGGAAUAAUCGUGGACUGGAGGCUCAAGUGAGAAGUUAGGUUGAGGUGGUACUGUUUUGUGUGUUGUAGGCCAAAAACCCGGGGGCAAUCCAAUCUUAUGUAGUGGGCAUAGGGGAAAUCCAGUCUUAUGUUGUGGGCUUGGGGGCAAUCCGGUCUUAUGUUGUGGUUAUAAGGGCAAUGCAGUCUUAUGUUUUAUGUUGUGGGCCCGAUGUUCAUGUAUUGUUUGUAUAUUGUGGUGUGUGGUUUUUGGGGGAAUUCAGUAAGCUUUGGCUUAUAAUUGUGGAUUAAAUGUUUUUUAGGUACAGUUGGUGAUCAUGCAAGGUUUGACCUUGUGUUGUGGUCCAACAAACCUAGGAGCAAUCCAAUAUUAUGUUGUGGGCACGAGGGAAAUUUAGUCUUAUGUUGUGGGCCCGGGGGCAAUCCAUUCUUAUGUUGUGGGCCAAGGGGCAAUCCAGUCUUAUGUUUUAUGUUGUGGGCCAGGUGUGCAUGUAUUUUUUGUAUAUUGUGGUGUGUGGUAUUUUGGGGGAAUUCAUUAAGCUUUGACUUGUAGUUGUGGAUUAAAUGUUUUUCAGGUACCGUUGGUGAUCGUGGGAAGGGAAAGGCAUGAUUGUACACACACAUCAGCAACAAUGGAGAUUCAGUAAUAUUUAUAUUGCUCGGAUUUAAAACAACUGUAUUUUGGAACCAAUUGGUUUUAAUAACUUCC
This 4322-nucleotide long non-coding RNA is filed under the name Lactuca sativa (garden lettuce). RNAcentral describes it as "long non-coding RNA (LSAT_LNC004754)". Lineage: Eukaryota; Viridiplantae; Streptophyta; Magnoliopsida; Asterales; Asteraceae. The record is from RNAcentral.